UUUCCGUAGGUGAACCUGCGGAAGGAUCAUUAUUGUAUAACCGAGGUGCGAGGGCUGUCGCUGAACCGAAAGGUCGUGCACGCCCGAGUGCCCUCACACACAUCCAUCUCACCCCUAUGUGCACCACCGCGUGGGUCCCCCUUUGGCUUGUUCGGAGGGGGGCUUACGUUUUCACACAAACUUUGUAUGCAGUGUAGAAUGUAUUUUUUGUUUUUGCGAUCACGCAAUCAAUACAACUUUCAACAACGGAUCUCUUGGCUCUC
This 263-nucleotide unclassified non-coding RNA is filed under the name plant metagenome. RNAcentral's name for it is "partial contains small subunit ribosomal RNA, internal transcribed spacer 1, and 5.8S ribosomal RNA". The record is from RNAcentral.